This 495-nucleotide ribosomal RNA is filed under the name uncultured bacterium. RNAcentral describes it as "partial 16S ribosomal RNA". It matches the Rfam family "Bacterial small subunit ribosomal RNA", at positions 28 to 507 of the family's 1533-position model. The record is from RNAcentral.
GACGAACGCUGGCGGCGUGCCUAAUACAUGCAAGUAGAACGCUGAAGAGAGGAGCUUGCUCUUCUUGGAUGAGUUGCGAACGGGUGAGUAACGCGUAGGUAACCUGCCUGGUAGCGGGGGAUAACUAUUGGAAACGAUAGCUAAUACCGCAUAAAAUGGAUUAUCGCAUGAUAAUCCAUUGAAAGGUGCAAAUGCAUCACUACCAGAUGGACCUGCGUUGUAUUAGCUAGUUGGUGGGGUAACGGCUCACCAAGGCGACGAUACAUAGCCGACCUGAGAGGGUGCGGCGACACUCUGAGUCUGAGACACGCCACAGUCCCACGGGAGACAGAGGUGUGGGAAAUCUGGGGAAAGACGGAAGAGUGAGCGAGAGAAACGGCGCGAGAGAAGAAGAGGUUCGCGGAGCAUAGAGCUGUGGUAAGAGAAGAGCGCGUGUGAGAGAGUAAAGUUCACACUGUGACGGUAUCUUACCAGAAAGGGACGGCUAACUACGUG